ACUCGACUUUCACAAUCGAGCAAUCGAGCCGAUGGAAAAUUUUUUGUGGAUCAGUGGAUCGUUAAAAAAUUAUAAUAUGGUGACCACGUUGCGAGUGUGUCGGGUAAAACCUAAAACUGUAUAAAAGUCGUAAGUGGUAUAAGACCAUCUGUUGCCUGUUGGCUCGCAGCUUUCUUUUCGGUUACGUUUCGUCGACGAGUAGACUCGCUUUGCUAAUUUGCUUUUUUAAAAUGGUGAACGAUUCGUCUUUGGCAUCAUAUCAUGGCAUCUUUGAUUUAUUCAGAAUAUCUUAACAUGUAAAUAAUUUAGCGACCACGUUGCGAGUGUGAGACUGUGAGUGUCGGGUAAAACCUUAAAAACUUUUCUAGAAUCCAGACCUAGAUUUUGUAGUUUUAGUUUGAAGAAUGAUGGCGAAAAUAAUAACAGGUAUUGCAUUAAUCUUCUCCUGUUUCUAAUUAUUUGUAGCAUGCCACUACCAAGCCCGUUUUAACCUCCAUUCUCUCUGCCUCUAUUUUAUCAAAGGACUAAAGCAUCAGCAUGCCACUACCAAGCCCGUUUUAACCUCCAUUCUCUCUGCCUCUAUUUUAUCAAAGGACUAAAGCAUCAGAUCUCGAAACACACAGGCGAUGAAACACAAUAGAUGUCCAAUGUGGUUCAAGAUUUCCAUCAUGGCCUAAGAAUAAUUUGCCGGCUUUAAUCUACCUUUUGAACCAUUCAAGAUGAAGAAGAAUGUCUCGUUUUUCUCUGAGAAGAAAUGGUGACCAAAGCCGGCAGCAUUUGCAAAACGGGCAGGGAGGUCGCCACAUGUUUUCUCCUAUUGCGUAUUCGCAAGACAGUGGAAACUCCCAAAUUGUCGCACCCCAUCAAGAUUUCACAUUUCAAAUAACAUGGUGUUUUUAAAAGGUUCCUGACUGCAUCAAAUUGUUAUUUUUUAGUUGGAGUGGUGAAGAAGAAAGUGCCCCAACCCUUUUCUGUUGGAACAGUAGCUCUAAUGUAUCAAGACAUCUUGGGUGAAA
This is a long non-coding RNA of Daphnia pulex (common water flea), 1016 nucleotides long. RefSeq lists it as uncharacterized. The record is from RefSeq and is a predicted model, not a curated record. The transcript is spliced from 6 exons. NCBI's taxonomy places the organism in Eukaryota, Metazoa, Arthropoda, Branchiopoda, Diplostraca, Daphniidae.